Molecule: ribosomal RNA, 506 nt
Filed under: uncultured Glomus
Lineage: Eukaryota; Fungi; Glomeromycota; Glomeromycetes; Glomerales; Glomeraceae
Description: SSU rRNA
Rfam family: Eukaryotic small subunit ribosomal RNA
Source: RNAcentral
AGCAGCCGCGGUAAUUCCAGCUCCAAUAGCGUAUAUUAAAGUUGUUGCAGUUAAAAAGCUCGUAGUUGAAUUUCGGGGUUAGUAGGCUGGUCGUGCCACAGGUAUGUACUGGUCUUACUGAUUCCUCCUUCCUGAUGAACCGUAAUGCCAUUAAUUUGGUGUUGCAGGGAAACUGGACUGUUACUUUGAAAAAAUUAGAGUGUUUAAAGCAGGCUAACGCUUGAAUACUUUAACAUGGAAUAAUAAAAUAAGACGUGCGGCCCUAUUUUGUUGGUUUCUAAGACCGCCGUAAUGAUUAAUAGGGACAGUCGGGGGCAUCAGUAUUCAAUUGUCAGAGGUGAAAUUCUUGGAUUUAUUGAACACUAACUACUGCAAAAGCAUUUGCCAAGGAUGUUUUCAUUAAUCAGUGAACGAAAGUUAGGGGAUCGAAGACGAUCAGAUACCGUCAUACUCUUAACCAUAAACUAUGCCGACUAGGGAUCGGAUGAUGUUAAUUUUUUAAUGAC